RNAcentral lists this ribosomal RNA (622 nucleotides) under Clostridium carboxidivorans. Its description in RNAcentral is "bacterial SSU rRNA". It matches the Rfam family "Bacterial small subunit ribosomal RNA", at positions 7 to 646 of the family's 1533-position model. The record is from RNAcentral. Lineage: Bacteria; Bacillati; Bacillota; Clostridia; Eubacteriales; Clostridiaceae.
GAGCGUUUGAUCCUGGCUCAGGACGAACGCUGGCGGCGUGCUUAACACAUGCAAGUCGAGCGAUGAAAUCCCUUCGGGGAUGGAUUAGCGGCGGACGGGUGAGUAACACGUGGGCAACCUGCCUCAAAGUGGGGGAUAGCCUUCCGAAAGGGAGAUUAAUACCGCAUAACAUUAGUUUUUCACAUGAAUUACUAAUUAAAGGAGUAAUCCGCUUUGAGAUGGGCCCGCGGCGCAUUAGCUAGUUGGUGAGGUAACGGCUCACCAAGGCCACGAUGCGUAGCCGACCUGAGAGGGUGAUCGGCCACAUUGGAACUGAGACACGGUCCAGACUCCUACGGGAGGCAGCAGUGGGGAAUAUUGCACAAUGGGCGAAAGCCUGAUGCAGCAACGCCGCGUGAGUGAUGAAGGCCUUCGGGUUGUAAAGCUCUGUCUUUGGGGACGAUAAUGACGGUACCCAAGGAGGAAGCCACGGCUAACUACGUGCCAGCAGCCGCGGUAAUACGUAGGUGGCGAGCGUUGUCCGGAUUUACUGGGCGUAAAGGAUGCGUAGGCGGAUGUUUAAGUCAGAUGUGAAAAUCCCGAGCUUAACUUGGGAACUGCAUUUGAAACUGGAUAUCUAGAG